RNAcentral lists this ribosomal RNA (497 nucleotides) under uncultured bacterium. RNAcentral describes it as "partial 16S ribosomal RNA". It matches the Rfam family "Bacterial small subunit ribosomal RNA", at positions 28 to 507 of the family's 1533-position model. The record is from RNAcentral.
GACGAACGCUGGCGGCGUGCCUAAUACAUGCAAGUAGAACGCUGAAGAGAGGAUCUUGCUCUUCUUGGAUGAGUUGCGAACGGGUGAGUAACGCGUAGGUAACCUGCCUUGUAGCGGGGGAUAACUAUUGGAAACGAUAGCUAAUACCGCAUAACAAUGGAUGACACAUGUCAUUUAUUUGAAAGGGGCAAUUGCUCCACUACAAGAUGGACCUGCGUUGUAUUAGCUAGUAGGUGAGGUAAUGGCUCACCUAGGCGACGAUACAUAGCCGACCUGAGAGGGUGAUCGGCCACCCUGGGACUGUGACACGGCCCAGACGCCUACGGGAGGCAGCAGUAGGGAAUCUUCGGCAAGGGGGGCAACCCUGACCGAGCAACGCCGCGUGAGUGAAGAAGGUUUUCGGAUCGUAAAGCUCUGUUGUAAGUCAAGAACGGGUGUGAGAGUGGAAAGUUCACACUGUGACGGUAGCUUACCAGAAAGGGACGGCUAACUACGUG